GCUAACUCGGGCCAGGCGGCCGAGGGAGUACGUGGGUGGCAGGCUGUGGCCGGAUGUAGUGUGCGUAAAGCGCCCGUAGGCGGGUCGGUAAGUUUCAGUCGAAAUCGCCCGGCUCGACCGUGAGCGUGCCUGGAAAACUACCGGGCUUGAGGCAGGGAGAGGGAUGUGGAAGUCCCGGUGUAGUGGUGAAAUGCGUAGAUAUCGGGAGGAACACCAGUGGCGAAGGCGGCAUCCUGGCCCUGUCCUGACGCUCAGGGGCGAAAGCGUGGGGAGCAAACCGGAUUAGAUACCCGGGUAGUC
RNAcentral lists this ribosomal RNA (300 nucleotides) under uncultured Ferroglobus sp. Its description in RNAcentral is "bacterial SSU rRNA". It matches the Rfam family "Bacterial small subunit ribosomal RNA", at positions 496 to 795 of the family's 1533-position model. Lineage: Archaea; Methanobacteriati; Methanobacteriota; Archaeoglobi; Archaeoglobales; Archaeoglobaceae. The record is from RNAcentral.